Pelobates cultripes (western spadefoot toad) is the source of this 313-nucleotide non-coding RNA. NCBI's taxonomy places the organism in Eukaryota, Metazoa, Chordata, Amphibia, Anura, Pelobatidae. The record is from the annotation of a GenBank genome assembly.
GAAAGAUCCAGACUGUGCCACGAUUUACUAUGCAUGCCCAGACACAGGGCUGGCACUGCCAGAUUUAAAAAAAUACCACCAGGCUACAACACUACAAUCUUGGAAUGGCACGAAUCGGAAACGACCAAACAAUGGGUGAUUCUAGAUCAAGGAGGGAACGCACCGAAACUAAAGGCACUGAUAUGGAGAAAACGAGUGACUCGGGGCGGUGGGAGAAGGGACGAGGAUCCCGUGGUACAAACGCUACUCACAUGGGAAACCAUCAGGGAGACACCGCAAAUUUCCCCGACCCCUUGCCCACUACUGCCAAUAG